GUCUACAUCCAUGCUACCCUAAACAAGCCUGUUCCGCCUGAUCUCAAAAGCUAAGCAGGGUCGGGCCUGGUUAGUACUUGGAUGGGAGACCACCUAGGAAGGCCAGGUGCUAUAAGCA
Molecule: ribosomal RNA, 118 nt
Filed under: Pteropus alecto (black flying fox)
Lineage: Eukaryota; Metazoa; Chordata; Mammalia; Chiroptera; Pteropodidae
Source: RNAcentral